RNAcentral lists this ribosomal RNA (1444 nucleotides) under Astrammina triangularis. Its description in RNAcentral is "SSU rRNA". It matches the Rfam family "Eukaryotic small subunit ribosomal RNA", at positions 1160 to 1816 of the family's 1831-position model. The record is from RNAcentral. Lineage: Eukaryota; Foraminifera.
AAGGGCACCACAAGAACGCGUGGAGCAUGUGGCUUAAUUUGACUCAACGCGGGAAAUCUUACCGGGUCCGGACAUACUGAGGAUUGACAGGUGCAAAAAUGUAAUUUAUUAUAUUCAUUUAUAACAUAUUACAUUAUCAAAUAUGCUAGUCCUUUCAUGAUUGUGUGAUAGGUGGUGCAUGGCCGUUCUUAGUUCGUGGAGUGAUCUGUCUGCUUAAUUGCGUUUCAUAAUAGCUCCUUAUAGACUUUUCUAUUGAUAUCAGCCUUAAUACUUGAGAAUGAUCGUGUUAUAUAUAUAUAUAUAUAUGANUUAAUUUUCGUAUAUUAUAUUAUAUAAUUAUGUGAAUUUUUUGAGCUAAGGAUUUGAUUCAAAGUAAAAGCUGGAGCCUGAAGGCAACGAACGUGACCGCAACCUCUUGUUGCCUCAUUCUUAAUAUGAAUGAUAUAUUUAUUUGUUUUAUUACAUUUAAAUGUAUUAUUUAUAUGUGUUAUGUAUUUGAUAGUAUAUGAAUGUUAUGUGACAUGUGUAUAAUAUUAUAUAUAUAUAUAUAUUAUAUAUGANAUGAUUUGUAUUGUUAGAAUUUAUUUUAAUGAUAUUAAAUUAUAUUAUAUAUAUAUGUGUAUAUGUGGUUUUUAUACGNGUUAUAUGAUUUUNUUUAUGUAUUUAAUCAUUUUGCAUAAAUUGAGGNAAACGAGAGGGACCGCUAGGCUAGCUUUUUAAAACAGAGGAAGGUUGCGGCAAUAACAGGUCUGUGAUGCCCUCAGAUGUUCCGGGCUGCACACGUGCUACAAUGAUUAUUGCAGUGAGCAUCUCAACAUUGUGAUUUUAGUUUAUUAUGAUUAUAUAUUUAUAUAUUAUAAUGUAUUUAUUUAUGUUAUUUUAUAUUAUAUUAAUUGUUUAUUCUAAAAAUUUAAUCACAUAGCCUACUUCGGCAGUCAGUAGGUAAUCAAUUAGAAGUAAUGAUUUCCCCUUUUUUAUUUAAAUGUAUUUCAAAUUUAUUUUUUUAAUAUGUUUAUUUAAAAUUGAUGCACACUUUUAUGUCUAUGUUUCUAUUAACAUAUUAGGAUAUUAAUACUAUUUAUUAAUAGUUUAAUUUCUAAUUUUGUUAUAGUUACUGACAUGUGCUCUCAUGUUUUAUUAAAUGUUCAAUUCGUGGUGGGGACAGACCAUUGUUAAUUGUUGGUCUCGGUCUCAACUAGGAAUGCCUUGUACGGGUCUUUGGUUCAACAAACCACCCGGAAUAUGUCCCUGCCCUUUGUACACACCGCCCGUCGCUCUUACCGAUGGACUACUCUGUGAGUUUGAGGGACUGGUUUGAAUUUUAAAGUAUAUGUAUAUUUAUUUAUAUAUAUUACUUUUUAUAUAAUUCAGGCUAUGGAAACUCAUACGAACAGUGUGGUCUAAAGGAAAGAGAAGUCGUAACAAGGCAUCGGUAGGUGAACCU